CUCUGACCCCCCUGUUGAGGUGGUGGUAACAGGUCACAGCCCUCUGACCCCCCUGUUGAGGUGGUGGUAACAGGUCACAGCCCUCUGACCCCCCUGUUGAGGUGGUGGUAACAGGUCACAGCCCUCUGACCCCCCUGUUGAGGUGGUGGUAACAGGUCACAGCCCUCUGACCCCCCUGUUGAGGUGGUGGUAACAGGUCACAGCCCUCUGACCCCCCUGUUGAGGUGGUGGUAACAGGUCACAGCCCUCUGACCCCCCUGUUGAGGUGGUGGUAACAGG
Oncorhynchus keta (chum salmon) is the source of this 279-nucleotide long non-coding RNA. RefSeq lists it as uncharacterized. The record is from RefSeq and is a predicted model, not a curated record. The transcript has 3 exons. Lineage: Eukaryota; Metazoa; Chordata; Actinopteri; Salmoniformes; Salmonidae.